UGAACUCUGUAGGAGCGCUGCUGUCAUAGGCCACCAAGGGCCCGGGAUGCCUGGCUGAAAUUUGAUGUUGCAGAUACCUUGGUGUCACUGGAAUCCAUGGAGUUGACACAGUCCUCUGAUGGCUGGAUUUCUGCUUUCUAAGGGUGUAUGGGAACUGUAUAAUCACAGCCUGACCCCCUGUUUGACUACCUGAGGCGAGUGCUGAGUCAGCUGCAGGGGCACAGGUGAUGGCAGUUUCACCUGAGUGACCGUAAGGGGUGGACCCUGGCUGCAGCCCUGCUAGACCCCAUGUAAGGGCUGACUCCCAAGGAGGAAGGAUCUCUAUCUGGAGGUCACCCUUAGUGGAGCCCUUCUGCGCGCCCAGGGUACGGGUAAGCUUUUUAUUUCAUUCCUCCUUUGGAAACGUGCUCAUCUCUCUGGUCCUUUACCUAUUUGCCUUACAAUCUGUUUGCCCUGCACACAGGUAAUGUUUAACCCUCCUAAUGGGUAGCCCUGAAGCCUUUUCUGUAAACGCAACAGGGAUAGGGUUAGCCCUCAUCAAGUAAGGGCCACCCUAACCUUCAUCCUAACCUACUAUGGUAAUUCUUCAUCCUUAACGCUAGCCCCUAACAGUAACCUUUAAGCCAAUCCUUAGGGGUUUUCCUUAAACCCUUACUCUAACUCAGCUUAGAAUCACAGAAUCGCUAAGGUUGGAAAAGACCUACAGGAUCAUCCAGUCCAACCAUUCGCCCUUCACCAAUGGUUCUCGCUAAACCAUGUCCCUCAGCACAACAUCCAAACGCUCUUUGACCACCACCAGGGUCGGUGACUGCACCACCUCUCUGGGCAGCCCAUUCCCGUGCCUGACCACCCUUUCAGAUAAGCACUAUUUCCUAACGUUCAGCCUCAAUCUUCCGUGGCGCAGCUUGAAGCCAUUCCCUCUUGUCCUAUCACUGUCACCCGAGAGAAGAGGCUGACCCCCAGCUCACUACAGCCUCCCUUCAGGUAGUUGUAGAGAGCAGUAAGGUCUCCCCUGAGCCUCCUCUUCUCUAGACUGAACAAUCCCAGCUCCUUCAGCCGCUCUUCAUAAGGUCUGUGCUCCAGAACCCUCACCAGCUUUGUUGCCCUCCUCUGGACACGCUCCAG
This 1125-nucleotide long non-coding RNA is filed under the name Gallus gallus (chicken). Its description in RNAcentral is "lncRNA (ENSGALG00010030050.1)". The record is from RNAcentral. Lineage: Eukaryota; Metazoa; Chordata; Aves; Galliformes; Phasianidae.